Molecule: long non-coding RNA, 364 nt
Organism: Lemur catta (Ring-tailed lemur)
Lineage: Eukaryota; Metazoa; Chordata; Mammalia; Primates; Lemuridae
Exons: 3
Source: RefSeq, a predicted model, not a curated record
AACCAGAGGACAUCAUGCUAAGUGAAAUAAGCCAGACACGGGUCAGAGUGUGUAACCGAGACCACUGCUCGCCAACUGCAGACUCCAGCUUAUCUGCGCCCAGGCUUCCUCACUUAGUCUGAGAAGACCCAUUCUAAGGCCCCAGGAAGAGAGAGGUGCUCUGAGGCAAGUUGGAGGAGAACCCUCAGCACAGAGCCCAGACCCACAUCCUCAGGGCAGAGGGAAGAGGCUCACAGGACAGUGGUCCUAGGAGAGCUGGACCUGCAGUGGCCUUUGUCUUUCAUGGUCAGCUGAGAGAGGGCAAUGCUGGCUCAACUUCCAGGUGUCAUCAAGGACCAUGUGACAGUGGGCAGUUGGAUCCCUG